GACGAACGCUGGCGGCGUGCUUAACACAUGCAAGUCGAACGGAAAGGCCCUGCUUUUGUGGGGUGCUCGAGUGGCGAACGGGUGAGUAACACGUGAGUAACCUGCCCUUGACUUUGGGAUAACUUCAGGAAACUGGGGCUAAUACCGGAUAGGAGCUCCUGCUGCAUGGUGGGGGUUGGAAAGUUUCGGCGGUUGGGGAUGGACUCGCGGCUUAUCAGCUUGUUGGUGGGGUAGUGGCUUACCAAGGCUUUGACGGGUAGCCGGCCUGAGAGGGUGACCGGCCACAUUGGGACUGAGAUACGGCCCAGACUCCUACGGGAGGCAGCAGUGGGGAAUAUCGCACAAUGGGCGGAAGCCUGAUGCAGCAACGCCGCGUGCGAGAUGACGGCCUUCGGGUUGUAAACCGCUUUCGCCUGUGACGAAGCGUGAGUGACGGUAAUGGGUAAAGAAGCACCGGCUAACUACGUGCCAGCAGCCGCGGUGAUACGUAGGGUGCGAGCGUUGUCCGGAUUUAUUGGGCGUAAAGGGCUCGUAGGUGGUUGAUCGCGUCGGAAGUGUAAUCUUGGGGCUUAACCCUGAGCGUGCUUUCGAUACGGGUUGACUUGAGGAAGGUAGGGGAGAAUGGAAUUCCUGGUGGAGCGGUGGAAUGCGCAGAUAUCAGGAGGAACACCAGUGGCGAAGGCGGUUCUCUGGGCCUUUCCUGACGCUGAGGAGCGAAAGCGUGGGGAGCGAACAGGCUUAGAUACCCUGGUAGUCCACGCUGUAAACGGUGGGUACUAGGUGUGGGGUCCAUUCCACGGGUUCCGUGCCGUAGCUAACGCUUUAAGUACCCCGCCUGGGGAGUACGGCCGCAAGGCUAAAACUCAAAGGAAUUGACGGGGCCCCGCACAAGCGGCGGAGCAUGCGGAUUAAUUCGAUGCAACGCGUAGAACCUUACCUGGGUUUGACAUGGAUCGGGAGUGCUCAGAGAUGGGUGUGCCUCUUUUGGGGUCGGUUCACAGGUGGUGCAUGGCUGUCGUCAGCUCGUGUCGUGAGAUGUUGGGUUAAGUCCCGCAACGAGCGCAACCCUUGUUCACUGUUGCCAGCACGUUAUGGUGGGGACUCAGUGGAGACCGCCGGGGUCAACUCGGAGGAAGGUGGGGAUGACGUCAAGUCAUCAUGCCCCUUAUGUCCAGGGCUUCACGCAUGCUACAAUGGCUGGUACAGAGAGUGGCGAGCCUGUGAGGGUGAGCGAAUCUCGGAAAGCCGGUCUCAGUUCGGAUUGGGGUCUGCAACUCGACCUCAUGAAGUCGGAGUCGCUAGUAAUCGCAGAUCAGCAACGCUGCGGUGAAUACGUUCCCGGG
This 1343-nucleotide ribosomal RNA is filed under the name uncultured bacterium. Its description in RNAcentral is "16S ribosomal RNA". It matches the Rfam family "Bacterial small subunit ribosomal RNA", at positions 28 to 1378 of the family's 1533-position model. The record is from RNAcentral.